Molecule: ribosomal RNA, 496 nt
Filed under: uncultured bacterium
Lineage: Bacteria
Description: partial 16S ribosomal RNA
Rfam family: Bacterial small subunit ribosomal RNA
Source: RNAcentral
AUGAACGCUGGCGGCGUGCCUAAUACAUGCAAGUCGAGCGAACAGACGAGGAGCUUGCUCCUCUGACGUUAGCGGCGGACGGGUGAGUAACACGUGGAUAACCUACCUAUAAGACUGGGAUAACUUCGGGAAACCGGAGCUAAUACCGGAUAAUAUAUUGAACCGCAUGGUUCAAUAGUGAAAGACGGUUUUGCUGUCACUUAUAGAUGGAUCCGCGCCGCAUUAGCUAGUUGGUAAGGUAACGGCUUACCAAGGCAACGAUGCGUAGCUGACCUGAGAGGGUGAUCGGCCACACUGGAACUGAGACACGGUCCAGACUUCUACGGGAGGCAGCAGUAGGGAAUCUUCCGCAAUGGGCGAAAGCUUGACGGAGCAACGCCGCGUGAGUGAUGAAGGUCUUCGGAUCGUAAAACUCUGUUAUUAGGGAAGAACAAAUGUGUAAGUAACUAUGCACGUCUUGACGGUACCUAAUCAGAAAGCCACGGCUAACUACGUG